Molecule: ribosomal RNA, 484 nt
Filed under: uncultured bacterium
Lineage: Bacteria
Description: partial 16S ribosomal RNA
Rfam family: Bacterial small subunit ribosomal RNA
Source: RNAcentral
AUUGAACGCUGGCGGCAGGCCUAACACAUGCAAGUCGAGCGGAUGAAGGGAGCUUGCUCCUGGAUUCAGCGGCGGACGGGUGAGUAAUGCCUAGGAAUCUGCCUGGUAGUGGGGGAUAACGUCCGGAAACGGGCGCUAAUACCGCAUACGUCCUGAGGGAGAAAGUGGGGGAUCUUCGGACCUCACGCUAUCAGAUGAGCCUAGGUCGGGUUAGCUAGUUGGUGGGGUAAAGGCCUACCAAGGCGACGAUCCGUAACUGGUCUGAGAGGAUGAUCAGUCACACUGGAACUGAGACACGGUCCAGACUCCUACGGGAGGCAGCAGUGGGGAAUAUUGGACAAUGGGCGAAAGCCUGAUCCAGCCAUGCCGCGUGUGUGAAGAAGGUCUUCGGAUUGUAAAGCACUUUAAGUUUGGAGGAAGGGCAGUAAGUUAAUACCUUGCUGUUUUGACGUUACCAACAGAAUAAGCACCGGCUGACUUCGUG